CGCAUCUGUGCAUGCAGCAUAUCAAUAAGCGGAGGAAAAGAAACUAACAAGGAUUCCCUUAGUAACGGCGAGUGAAGCGGGAAGAGCUCAAAUUUGAAAUCUUCAAGGGUUUACCUUUACGAAUUGUAGUUUAAAGAAGUGUUUUCUGCUGAGGUUUUGGUAAAAGUUCUUUGGAAUAGGACAUCAUAGAGGGUGAGAAUCCCGUAUUUGACCAUUACUUUCAACUUUGUGAUACACUUUCAAAGAGUCGGAUUGUUUGGGAAUGCAGUCCAAAAUGGGUGGUAAAUUUCAUCUAAAGCUAAAUAUUGGCGAGAGACCGAUAGCGAACAAGUACCGUGAGGGAAAGAUGAAGAGAACUUUGAAAAGAGAGUUAAACAGUACGUGAAAUUGUCAAAAGGGAAGCGUUUGACACCAGUGUUGUUUUUCUGAAAAUCAAUUAAAGAACUGUUUAUGCUAAGCUGUUUAGACUUUAUCAGCUAUCUGUUUAGUUUUGAGCUUUUCUUUAAUGCACUUUUCAGUUAACAAGUCAACAUCAAUUUCUUUUGCUGUAAAAAAGCUUGAGGAAGGUGGCUUGAGAUUCGUCUUAAGUGUUUAUAGCCUCUUGCCUAUGCAGUCGGAGAGAUUGAGGUCUGCAGCGUAGAUCCUUCGGGGCUAAAUGCAUUUGUGCUAAGUUAUAGCAUUUUAUAGACAACUUGUUGACUAUGAUUUGUCUUGUAGCUUACUCGCUUAUGCUAUUUUACCUACGCUUAGGAUGUUGAUAGUCACAGCGUGUAC
Molecule: ribosomal RNA, 774 nt
Filed under: uncultured Neocallimastigales
Lineage: Eukaryota; Fungi; Neocallimastigomycota; Neocallimastigomycetes; Neocallimastigales
Description: partial large subunit ribosomal RNA
Rfam family: Eukaryotic large subunit ribosomal RNA
Source: RNAcentral